GUUGAGUACCAAAGAAAAUUAUCUUGCUUAAUUUUUUGGGUCAUAAAAUAGAUGGAUGUCUAUCUGCCCGCAGUUGUCUCCAAAAUGUUCUUCAAUUUUUAGGCAUGAUAAAACACCUUCUUUAAAUAGUUUAUGGCUUCAAAUUUUUUUAGGAUAAUUUUCUAAGUUGAGAAGAGUAUGCCAUUCUGGAUAUGAAUUUUUUCUUCAUAGAAGAUUUUGAGGGUCCUCUUGAUUUGGUAUUCUAGUUGGA
RNAcentral lists this long non-coding RNA (250 nucleotides) under Elaeis guineensis (African oil palm). RNAcentral's name for it is "long non-coding RNA (EGUI_LNC045642)". The record is from RNAcentral. Lineage: Eukaryota; Viridiplantae; Streptophyta; Magnoliopsida; Arecales; Arecaceae.